Molecule: long non-coding RNA, 257 nt
Filed under: Gossypium barbadense (sea-island cotton)
Lineage: Eukaryota; Viridiplantae; Streptophyta; Magnoliopsida; Malvales; Malvaceae
Description: long non-coding RNA (GBAR_LNC010343)
Source: RNAcentral
CAUACCAGUACGCUCGUAAUCUAACUUCGUCUCUAUAAAGAAUGUGAUAUGGGGAUUGUACAAUUUCAGCAUAUGCCAAAGUCUACGAACAAUCUGCAGAUUCCCCAAUCCACAAACAUUCCAGCAUAAAAGUUUCAUGGUUAUCGGCCUACAUGCCCGUUGGUGUCCGCCGAUAAAUUCAAUCAACAAGUUGUAAAACGUUGUCAUUAAAUCUUGCUGAAUCCAAGCGAUUAGAAACAAGAAAAGAGGAAUGUACA